Molecule: ribosomal RNA, 253 nt
Filed under: uncultured bacterium
Lineage: Bacteria
Description: partial 16S ribosomal RNA
Rfam family: Bacterial small subunit ribosomal RNA
Source: RNAcentral
UACGUAGGCAGCGAGCGUUGUUCGGAAUUACUGGGCGUAAAGGGCGCGUAGGCGGCCUGCUAAGUCGAACGUGAAAUCCCCGGGCUCAACCCGGGAACUGCGUCCGAUACUGACAGGCUCGAAUCCGGGAGAGGGAUGUGGAAUUCCAGGUGUAGCGGUGAAAUGCGUAGAUAUCUGGAGGAACACCGGUGGCGAAGGCGGCAUCCUGGACCGGCAUUGACGCUGAGGCGCGAAAGCCAGGGGAGCAAACGGG